Molecule: non-coding RNA, 173 nt
Organism: Thermotalea metallivorans
Lineage: Bacteria; Bacillati; Bacillota; Clostridia; Peptostreptococcales; Thermotaleaceae
Source: Rfam
UCCAUCGUGAGGUGGAAUCUGAAGGAAGCCGGAGGCAAAGUCCCGACCCGAUGAACAAAAACCAGAUACAAGGCUGAAGUGGGACGGACGAGUUUGCGUGACAAAACAAAGUCCAACACUGCACGAAUCCCACACAGUAAAUCUGGCGGGUACAUGGGAUGAAGGUAACUGCU